GUGUGAGUGUAAGUUUCUGUCUUCGACAGCUCCUUUUAUAUACUGAAAAUGAGUGUGGGAGUGUCCUUUCAGAACCAAUCGACACUUCCCAAAAUUUGGUAGAACCUAUACUCGCGCUUUCUUUGAGAUAAGGCAGCAAGGCUCCGCGUAAGCCCUACUCCCCACUCUACAAGUUUAUUCUUAAUAAGUAAUAGUUGAAUUUUAACAAUUUGUUGUAAUAAAAAUUCGGUUUUCCUUAAUAUCCUUUAUGCGAGGCGAAUUCACUACAUUCAUAUGUUUAAAAUUAAUUUAACUUUAUUAGAAAAAGAAAAAGGGAAAAAAAGA
Long non-coding RNA from Acromyrmex echinatior (Panamanian leafcutter ant), 324 nucleotides. The record is from RefSeq and is a predicted model, not a curated record. NCBI's taxonomy places the organism in Eukaryota, Metazoa, Arthropoda, Insecta, Hymenoptera, Formicidae.